RNAcentral lists this ribosomal RNA (345 nucleotides) under uncultured bacterium. RNAcentral describes it as "bacterial SSU rRNA". It matches the Rfam family "Bacterial small subunit ribosomal RNA", at positions 36 to 366 of the family's 1533-position model. The record is from RNAcentral.
CGGCCGCGUCGACCUGGCGGCGUGCUUAACACAUGCAAGUCGAACGGAAAGGCCCUGCUUUUGUGGGGUGCUCGAGUGGCGAACGGGUGAGUAACACGUGAGUAACCUGCCCUUGACUUUGGGAUAACUUCAGGAAACUGGGGCUAAUACCGGAUAGGAGCUCCUGCUGCAUGGUGGGGGUUGGAAAGUUUCGGCGGUUGGGGAUGGACUCGCGGCUUAUCAGCUUGUUGGUGGGGUAGUGGCUUACCAAGGCUUUGACGGGUAGCCGGCCUGAGAGGGUGACCGGCCACAUUGGGACUGAGAUACGGCCCAGACUCCUACGGGAGGCAGCAGUCGACGCGGCCG